CUGGAGAUUGCUCCUUAUGGAGUUUGUUGUGAGCCUACAAUGUAGACAGCAGUCAAGAGGCAACCUGACGAAAUGGCAUGGAAGUUCCUAUGAAACAACUGCAUGUGGUUGAAUUUCUCCAUGCAUAAAAAAUAGCGCCCACUGACAUUCAUCAACACUUGCUGAAUAUUUAUGGAGACCCAACAGUAGAUGUGAGCGUAGUGAGGUGGUGGAUGGUGCAUUUCAGCAUUGGUGACAGCAACGUGAAACACAGCCGUGCACAGCUGUCACAACAUGAAGAGUUUUGUGGUCAAGGUCAUCCAUAUGAAUUGGUGGAUUAUUACCAGGGAACUGUGUACGAAGCUGAAUAUUGGCUUCAAAGCAUUAGACUUGAUAGUUGUAAUGUUGGAGUAUUACAGCUUGGUUCUGGUGGGUCACACAAAUGCACACAGGAAAAUAAAUAACAUUGUAUGCAAGUUGGUCAGGAUCUAUGGAAACAAUAUGAGGCUGAAGGUGACAGUUUCCUGCAUCAUGACCAGUGACAAGAUAUGGUGUCACCACUAUGAGUUGGAGUCAAGCAGUUCAGGAGUAGCAACAUAUGAUUUCCCUGUCAGAAAAAAAAACUCGAGGUACAACUCACAGCAAGUAAGGCAAUGUGUACUCUCUUUUGGGAUAGGACAGGAGUGAUCCUUCUGCUUUCCUGGAACCUAAAUGAACCAUUAUCUCUGACUACUACAUAAUGAUUCUGACUAAGCGACUCUAACUAAGUUGAAGGUUCAAACUUCCAGAGUCAGGUCACAGAAAAAGACAACCUUUCUCUAGAAGCAUAAUAAUGCCAGGUCCUGUACUACUCCAAAGAGCAUGGAGCACAUUGCCAAUCUUGGCUGGACUGUCUGAGCCUGCCUACCAUAUAGCCUGAAUGUGGCUCCUCAUGACUUUCAUCUGUUUGGGCUGAUGAAAUAUGGGCUACAUGGACAACAUUUUACUAGCAACAAUACUGUCAUAGCAGCUGUGAAACAGUGAGUCACCUCUACUGCUGCCGAUUUUUACAAGUGUGACAUAAAGUCCCAUGUUCAUUGCUGUCAAAAAUGCAGAGCUAACGGUGAUGACUAUAUUGAAAAAUACUGUUUUAUAGCUGAGAAUUUUCUUAAUCAAACACUGUUAUUGUGUUUGUUGUAUCUGCUUAUUCCCAUGGAAAUAAUUAGGAAGAUUUACUUUCAGAGUGGUCUUAUUCCAUGCUUUAUUUUCUAUGUAAAAACAACUGUCAAGAAUAUAUUUGUUUUAUUAUUUAUUUGUUAUCCUCUUUGUAUUGUAUUCAGGGAGACUUUUAGUGAUAAAAAUUGUAAAGCUUUUUGCAAAAUAUAUAUUGAAAGUUUUGUACUAUCUCAGUACCCAAGAGAUUUCUAAAAAACCUUUUUUUUGAUAAAUUUCAAGUAAUGAUGCAAGAAACAAAUAGACCUGAAUAAACAUAUUUGUUUUAGUCCUCACAAUGGACAACAGUGGACAACUUCACUAUGCUUU
Long non-coding RNA from Lagopus muta (rock ptarmigan), 1500 nucleotides. RefSeq lists it as uncharacterized. Lineage: Eukaryota; Metazoa; Chordata; Aves; Galliformes; Phasianidae. The transcript is spliced from 2 exons. The record is from RefSeq and is a predicted model, not a curated record.